RNAcentral lists this long non-coding RNA (715 nucleotides) under Equus caballus (horse). Its description in RNAcentral is "lncRNA (ENSECAG00000034178.3)". The record is from RNAcentral. Lineage: Eukaryota; Metazoa; Chordata; Mammalia; Perissodactyla; Equidae.
GUCUCAUAUCACCAUCCUUGUUAGAACCCGUGUCAUCAUUUCUUUCGGCCCCAGAGAUGACAUGACUUUCCAAGGAGUACACAAUGAAGAUCCAGUGCUGGUCUAGCACAUCUUAAUUUCAGCUCACCACAAUCCGAGUGCUCAACAGCCACACGUGACCAGAGGCUGCAGUGUUGGACAGCAGAGCUCUCGGGCAAUGGUUUCCAGUGCAAGUCUGCCAGUCUACGAUGAAAAGGGGAAGCCAGCUGCCAUGUUGUGAGGAUUCUCAAGCAGCCCUGUGGCGAUGUCUUUGUAGCGAGGAACUGAGGCCUCCUGCCAACAGCCAUGGGAGUGAGCCAUCUUGGAAGCAGAUCCCUCAGCUCCAGUGAGAGCUUCACGCGUCGGCAGCUCUUCCUGAAGACUACAUGUCUAUAACUUGACUACAAUCUUGUGAGAGACCCUGAGCCACAGCCACCCAGCUAGGCUGCUUCCAGAGUCCCUACCUUCAGAAACUGCAUGACGAUUUCAGAACAAAACAUGGAAACCAGAUGACCAGAGAAGGAGGCAGGAUGCCCCAGCAGUCUUCAUUUCCAACCUGACCUUUGUCACCAGUUGUCAUUUUGGGCUGGGGAGCUCCCGCUGUUCUACCAGGCUACGCCUCCCUGAGCCUGUCACUCCUCUUCGUUCAUCGGACUGACUGAUUGCUUGUGGAUAUUUGGAAGCACCUAAUAUGUCC